This is a long non-coding RNA of Humulus lupulus (European hop), 424 nucleotides long. RefSeq lists it as uncharacterized. The transcript has 2 exons. Lineage: Eukaryota; Viridiplantae; Streptophyta; Magnoliopsida; Rosales; Cannabaceae. The record is from RefSeq and is a predicted model, not a curated record.
UUUCUCCUAUCUUCUCUUCUGCCAACGUAACGACUUGAUUUUGGAGAACCCAUAAUGUGCCACAAACAAUGCUCAGUCACCCUCCGUCAAUGUCAGCGUUCAACUUUACUUUUGCAGUAGAAAGUCGGGUAGAAGGGUAUGCAAUUCAUUGUUCCUCCUGAAAAAUAUCAUCGAGCAAAAUAUUAUGCCAUCAUCAAGUAUGAGCAGCUUACUUUUGUGCAUGAGUUGAUAUCUCCAAAACAACUUUCUGAUUUUGUUGAUUCUUGCUUUUGACAUUCCUUGUCGUCCUUUGUCAUCCAGUAUCAACUCAUUCAUAUAUUUUUGCUUAGUGAGUUGAAACAACCCAACUCUCAUGAGAUUUGAAUUGGUGUAGUUGGUAUGAAACUUCGUUUUGGGAUAGAGGAAUUUGCAAUGGUCACUAGUA